This 849-nucleotide small RNA is filed under the name Pan troglodytes (chimpanzee). RNAcentral describes it as "retained intron". Lineage: Eukaryota; Metazoa; Chordata; Mammalia; Primates; Hominidae. The record is from RNAcentral.
GGAAGGAGUGGGGACCGACCCGGGGCUGUGCCAGAAAAAGUGCCCUCAGGGUUACCUCUCCCCAGCCCUGGGCCCCCAGGUCCCCCCCGAGCACCAAGGCCUGUGCUGGGCACUGGGACCUCUGGAGGGACUCCCUUUCAGAGCCAGGCCUGGGACCCUCCCGAUCCCUGCUUGAUUCCUCCAGUUGGGGGCAUGGCAGGCGUGAAGAGGGCCUCGGAGGACUCUGAGGAGGAGCCGUCAGGGAAGAAGGCUCCAGUCCAGGCGGCCAAGCUGCCCUCGCCCGUCCCAGCCCGGAAGUCUCCACUAUCUCCAGCCCAGACAAACCCUGUGGUCCAGAGGAGGAAUGAGGGUGCAGGGGUCCCGCCCCCCAAGACUGACCAGGCAUUGGCGGGCAGCUUGGUCAGCAGCACCUGCGGGGUCUGCGGCAAGCACGUGCACCUGGUACAGCGGCACCUGGCCGAUGGGAGACUCUACCACCGGAGCUGCUUCAGGUGUAAGCAGUGCUCCUGCACGCUGCACUCGGGGGCCUACAGGGCCACAGGAGAGCCGGGCACCUUCGUCUGCACCAGCCACCUCCCCGCAGCUGCCUCUGCAAGCCCCAAGUUGACGGGUCUGGUCCCCCGACAGCCAGGGGCCAUGGGUGUGGAUUCCAGGACCUCCUGUUCCCCACAGAAGGCCCAGGAGGCAAACAAGGCCAGGCCGUCGGCCUGGGAGCCUGCUGCGGGCAACUCGCCUGCCAGGGCUUCCGUUCCAGCUGCACCCAACCCUGCAGCCACCAGCGCCACGUCCGUCCACGUGAGGAGCCCAGCCAGGCCCUCUGAGAGCCGCCUGGCCCCCACUCCCACGGAG